GACAGAGGGUGCAAACGUUGUUCGGAAUUACUGGGCGUAAAGCGCGUGUAGGCUGCUUGGAAAGUCGGAUGUGAAAGCCCUGGGCUCAACCUAGGAAGUGCAUUCGAAACUUCUGAGCUUGAGUAUCGGAGAGGAAGGCGGAAUUCUCGGUGUAGAGGUGAAAUUCGUAGAUAUCGAGAGGAACACCGGUGGCGAAGGCGGCCUUCUGGACGAUAACUGACGCUGAGACGCGAAAGCGUGGGGAGCAAACAGG
RNAcentral lists this ribosomal RNA (253 nucleotides) under uncultured bacterium. Its description in RNAcentral is "partial 16S ribosomal RNA". It matches the Rfam family "Bacterial small subunit ribosomal RNA", at positions 524 to 776 of the family's 1533-position model. The record is from RNAcentral.